UACAGAGGGUGCGAGCGUUAAUCGGAAUUACUGGGCGUAAAGCGCACGUAGGCGGCUUUGCAAGUCGGGUGUGAAAUCCCCGGGCUCAACCUGGGAACUGCAUCCGAGACUGCAUUGCUAGAGUAUGGGAGAGGGAAGCGGAAUUUCUGGUGUAGCAGUGAAAUGCGUAGAUAUCAGAAGGAACAUCAGUGGCGAAGGCGGCUUCCUGGACCAAUACUGACGAUCAGGUGCGAAAGCGUGGGGAGCAAACAGG
Molecule: ribosomal RNA, 253 nt
Filed under: uncultured bacterium
Lineage: Bacteria
Description: partial 16S ribosomal RNA
Rfam family: Bacterial small subunit ribosomal RNA
Source: RNAcentral